This 1048-nucleotide long non-coding RNA is filed under the name Phasianus colchicus (ring-necked pheasant). Its description in RNAcentral is "lncRNA (ENSPCLG00000011611.1)". Lineage: Eukaryota; Metazoa; Chordata; Aves; Galliformes; Phasianidae. The record is from RNAcentral.
UUAAAACCAGGGUACUGUUCAGAAAAUGACAAAUGAUCAUCAAGUCUUGUCAACACCAAAUAGCAGUCUUUGCUGAAUUUGGAGGUAAUCUGCAAUCCCAGCGUGUAACAGUAAAGGAGAAAUAAGUUGGUGUUAUCCAUUUGCUUGAAAUGAGCAGAAAAACUGCAUUGGUAAUGCACUACUUGUAAAAACCCAACCAUUAAUUUCAAUAAGAGAUGUUUCCAUCUUUUGUCUUUGUAACUGAGAUAGUUGGCUUUCUUUGGCUAAUUUUAUCAUUGCACAGGUAAGCUGGGUUGGAUCUCUGGAGUUUGGCACAGUCACACAGAGCAGGGAGCCCAGGAGCACAUCCCAUUGGGUUUUGAAGCUCCCUGGUGGUGUGUCCACGACCUCUCUAUGUGACCUAUUCCAGUGUUCAGCUAUCCUUGCAUAAACAAGUGUUCUCUUAUGUUUGGCCAGUUUCUCUUGUAUUUUAAUGUGCCUCUCGUCCUAACACUGGAUACCCCUGAGAAGAGUGGCACAUGUUUACUUACUGCCCUCUGUCAGUAGGUGGGAUUCCUGAAGGCCAGUUGUAGGAGGCACUGAGUAGCUUGGACUUUUCUGUGUCUCAUGUCACCAGGUCCCCUCUUCUUUUCAGAACAGCCCCGUGUUUUCCCCAGAUCUCUUUUUGCUGUUGAUGGACCUGUUGAAGCUCAUUGUCUUGUAUUUCACAUCCCUCCACAGAUUCAACUCCAGAUGGGCCUCUGUUUAAAUGUAACAGAUCUGGAACCAAAGAGUUGAUCUCAACAAGCUAUUUCUACCCCAUUUUGUACAACUAGAGCAACGUGAAGAGACCAAAGUUUUGCUACGAGUUGAGUUGAAGGCAUGGACUACUGAUUUUACCUCUUCUUUUGGUGUCUAAAUAGCUGGCUUUCCAUGUCAGAAGAAACAUCUGGUUAUUAAAGCCUGAGAAGGUAUGCUCUAGGUGUUUUUUUCAUGUUUUUAAUUCUGUCGUGAUUAAACAGUAUUUUCAUUGUAACGUUGUUAUUUAAUUUUUAGAUUGAAGCUAAAU